Molecule: unclassified non-coding RNA, 225 nt
Filed under: Hevea brasiliensis (rubber tree)
Lineage: Eukaryota; Viridiplantae; Streptophyta; Magnoliopsida; Malpighiales; Euphorbiaceae
Source: RNAcentral
UCGAUUCCCGGCUAAUGCAUCAUACUACCUUUAGCCAAUGAGUUGCACCACCCGUGGUGGGUAUAGUGAUCGGUAUGUGUAUACCAUCCUUCUAGUCGAAAGUGCAUUGGUAUUGGGGCUGUCAUUUGCAGUAGAGGCCACAUGGGCUGCUAGCCCCACCCUGUCCCAGGUGUGAGCCUUUGGGCCGCCAAGUGGAUUAACAUUAUUGAUUUGUAAGGCUCACAG